AGCUGAAAUCAUUAAAAGGGACCAAAUAAACUUUGUUUUUGUCAGUAAUGAUGGGAGAUUCAGAGACAAACUACAGAUGGACAAUCAAACUGGAUCUCUGACCAUCAGAAACAUCAGAUCUGAACACACUGGACUUUAUGAACUGACUGUUAUCAGUGGAGAAACCUCACUGAAGAGCUUCAGUGUUACUGUGUAUGCUCCUCUUCCCUCUCCUGUCAUCACCAGUAACUCUUCA
This is a long non-coding RNA of Cyprinus carpio (common carp), 235 nucleotides long. RefSeq lists it as uncharacterized. NCBI's taxonomy places the organism in Eukaryota, Metazoa, Chordata, Actinopteri, Cypriniformes, Cyprinidae. The transcript is spliced from 3 exons. The record is from RefSeq and is a predicted model, not a curated record.